This 184-nucleotide ribosomal RNA is filed under the name uncultured bacterium. Its description in RNAcentral is "partial 16S ribosomal RNA". It matches the Rfam family "Bacterial small subunit ribosomal RNA", at positions 1317 to 1500 of the family's 1533-position model. The record is from RNAcentral.
UGCGUGAAGUCGGAAUCGCUAGUAAUCGCGGAUCAGCAUGCCGCGGUGAAUACGUUCCCGGGCCUUGUACACACCGCCCGUCACACCAUGAGAGUUGGGAAUACCCGAAGCCUGUGAGCUAACUGUAAGGAGGCAGCAGUCGAAGGUAGAAUCAAUGAUUGGGGUGAAGUCGUAACAAGGUAAC